Molecule: long non-coding RNA, 255 nt
Filed under: Anser brachyrhynchus (Pink-footed goose)
Lineage: Eukaryota; Metazoa; Chordata; Aves; Anseriformes; Anatidae
Description: lncRNA (ENSABRG00000011192.1)
Source: RNAcentral
CAGCAAUCAAGGGGAGAAGAGACAGUUUCAUGAGCCAGGUUGCAGUCUGGAAUCUGGAUAUUGCAACACUUAGUGAGACAAUGAACAACUUCUACAGGAUUGACCAGCUCAAAGUGCAAAACUCACAGUAACUCUGCUGUUCUGACCCCUGCCAGACUGGAAAGGUACCAGUUGAACAAAAGCAUAAUUGAAAAUUUUUGUUCUCCACUCACAAGAGGCAGUUAGCAAACUUUUCUCUCUCAGGUGAGUACAUCU